Lagenorhynchus albirostris (white-beaked dolphin) is the source of this 558-nucleotide long non-coding RNA. RefSeq lists it as uncharacterized. NCBI's taxonomy places the organism in Eukaryota, Metazoa, Chordata, Mammalia, Artiodactyla, Delphinidae. The record is from RefSeq and is a predicted model, not a curated record. The transcript has 3 exons.
UACAAACACCGAGGACCUGAGACUUUACAAAUAAACUCCAGCUGGUUGGAGAUUCAUUUCUUUUGUGAAAAAAAGAAGUAAAAAGUAAACAACAAUGAAGAAGUUAGUUUCUAUGGCAACAUGUCAAGGAAUGCAAAGUUAUGCAGAGUUGGUACAAAGGUCAAGAUCACCAGUGACCCCCGAGGAGCCCUCUGUAUCAAAAUGCCCCUGGGGUUUCAUCACAGAGCAACAAAGAAUGAGGAUUUGACAGGUCAGCUUGACUCCAGUGAUUUCCUUCAUCCGGGGCUGACAUGAGAAAAUAAACAGAUGCUUCCCUGAAAUUGACAAACGUUCUGUCAUCAUAUGAUGAGAGCAAUGAGGCCAUCUAGAUGUUGGAAAAAGCAGCUAAGCACCUAAUUAUAAUAGCAUUCGUUCUCUAUAGAACAGGUCACUUAGGUGGAAAAUAUUAGCAUGGAUACAGCUUAAGAUCUAUAAAUAGUCUAUGAAAGUGGCAGAACAAAAGCUGACAACAACUAUGUGAGUAGAAUGUAAAAUAAGUAUCAAAAUAUCUCUGGGAAA